CCAAUAUACUUAUCACAGUGUGUCCCUGUGGACACUCACACAGAUUGGAUUCAGGGCAGAGUCACUGGAACCACCAUGAAGAGGCACAGGUGACAGAGAUGAAGGUUUGUACAGGAUCUCUGAGGAGUGAACAGGGAGACUUGUCCCAUCGCCUGCCUUUCACGCCUGCGCUGUCCUUGGGAAAGGAAGCAGGCACCACCUGAUUUACCCAGGAGAACUGAGAGGGACCUUGCCCACAAGAGCACGGUUUUCAGAAAACCAAACAUGGAAAUGUGAAGACGCUACCCUGUCUGUGGGCCUCCUGCCGGGCUGUGGGAACAGGAGAGCUGUGAACCCAGGGAAGCAAUAUAAGACUGUAUUGAACCAUCAGUGUGCCUAAAUAAACCCUCACUUGUUGGAUGACCAAACAGGACGAUGGUACCAAUGGUAAGCCAGCAUUUACUCAGCCCUGCUCUGCUCAGAACCAGGAGAAGACGAAUUCCCUGCUGGUGGAUCAGUAAUUUUGCUGGUAAUUUCAUGAAGGACCCCUACGACAUGGAUAGCGUCUAUAAUGGUUACGGUCUGCUGCAUAUUUACUGCCUUGAACUGGAACUCCACCAGCGCCUGUAACAUCUGCUGCCUCUGCAACCUUUUCUCCUUCAACAUCAUCAAACCCUACAGUCUCUCCAUCUCCUUUCUACACUGUGAAGGUACUUCCUGGGGUUAUUCUUCUUUAUGGCAGUCUGGUGUACAAAUAUGUCUUCCUUGGCUUACCAUCUCUACCAUCACCCGGUUUGGUCAUCCAACAAGAUGAAAUGAACAUAAAAUUCCAGCAAUAAGAAAUGAACAAAGAUUGGAGCUGAAGACCUUAAGCGCUUGCUUUUUGCCCAUUGACCAGAUACACUAGAAC
RNAcentral lists this long non-coding RNA (889 nucleotides) under Cricetulus griseus (Chinese hamster). Its description in RNAcentral is "lncRNA (ENSCGRG00015030452.1)". The record is from RNAcentral. Lineage: Eukaryota; Metazoa; Chordata; Mammalia; Rodentia; Cricetidae.